RNAcentral lists this transfer RNA (72 nucleotides) under Camelus bactrianus (Bactrian camel). It matches the Rfam family "tRNA". From Rfam's summary of the family: Transfer RNA (tRNA) molecules are approximately 80 nucleotides in length. Their secondary structure includes four short double-helical elements and three loops (D, anti-codon, and T loops). The record is from Rfam by way of RNAcentral. Lineage: Eukaryota; Metazoa; Chordata; Mammalia; Artiodactyla; Camelidae. RNAcentral also lists the same sequence under 1 other name.
GAAGGUAUAACUCAGCGGUAGAAUACAUGCUUAGCAUGCAUGAGGUCCUGGGUUCAAUCCCCAGUACCUCCA